GAAUUCAACUCCUACGGGAGGCAGCAGUGGGGAAUUUUGGGCAAUGGGCGCAAGCCUGAUCCAGCAAUGCCGCGUGCAGGAAGAAGGCCUUCGGGUUGUAAACUGCUUUUGUACGGAACGAAACGGUCUGGGUUAAUACCCUGGGCUAAUGACGGUACCGUAAGAAUAAGCACCGGCUAACUACGUGCCAGCAGCCGCGGUAAUACGUAGGGUGCAAGCGUUAAUCGGAAUUACUGGGCGUAAAGCGUGCGCAGGCGGUUUUGUAAGACAGUCGUGAAAUCCCCGGGCUCAACCUGGGAAUUGCGAUUGUGACUGAAAGGCUGGAGUGCGGCAGAGGGGGAUGGAAUUCCGCGUGUAGCAGUGAAAUGCGUAGAUAUGCGGAGGAACACCGGUGGCGAAGGCAAUCCCCUGGGCCUGCACUGACGCUCAUGCACGAAAGCGUGGGGAGCAAACAGGAUUAGAAACCCUAGUAGUCCAGGCGUU
RNAcentral lists this ribosomal RNA (483 nucleotides) under uncultured bacterium. Its description in RNAcentral is "bacterial SSU rRNA". It matches the Rfam family "Bacterial small subunit ribosomal RNA", at positions 328 to 803 of the family's 1533-position model. The record is from RNAcentral.